This 433-nucleotide ribosomal RNA is filed under the name uncultured bacterium. Its description in RNAcentral is "partial 16S ribosomal RNA". It matches the Rfam family "Bacterial small subunit ribosomal RNA", at positions 29 to 507 of the family's 1533-position model. The record is from RNAcentral.
AACGGACGCUGGCGGCAUGCCUAACACAUGCAAGUCGAACGAAGGCUUCGGCCUUAGUGGCGCACGGGUGCGUAACGCGUGGGAAUCUGCCCUUUGGUUCGGAAUAACAGCUGGAAACGGCUGCUAAUACCGGAUGAUGACGAAAGUCCAAAGAUUUAUCGCCAGAGGAUGAGCCCGCGUUGGAUUAGGUAGUUGGUGGGGUAAAGGCCUACCAAGCCGACGAUCCAUAGCUGGCCUGAGAGGAUGAUCAGCCACACUGGGACUGAGACACGGCCCAGACUCCUACGGGAGGCAGCAGUGGGGAAUAUUGGACAAUGGGCGCAAGCCUGAUCCAGCAAUGCCGCGUGAGUGAUGAAGGCCCUAGGGUUGUAAAGCUCUUUUACCCGGGAAGAUAAUGACUGUACCGGGAGAAUAAGCCCCGGCUAACUCCGUG